UACGUAGGGUGCAAGCGUUUGUCCGGAAUUAUUGGGCGUAAAGAGCUCGUAGGCGGUCUGUCGCGUCUGCUGUGAAAACUCAGGGCUUAACCCUGAGCUUGCAGUCGAUACGGGCAGACUCGAGUGCGGUAGGGAGACUGGAAUUCCUGGUGUAGCGGUGAAAUGCGCAGAUAUCAGGAGGAACACCGGUGCGAAGGCGGUCUCUGGGCCGUAACUGGACGCUGGAGGAGCGAAAGCUGGGGAGCGAACGG
This 251-nucleotide ribosomal RNA is filed under the name uncultured bacterium. Its description in RNAcentral is "partial 16S ribosomal RNA". It matches the Rfam family "Bacterial small subunit ribosomal RNA", at positions 524 to 775 of the family's 1533-position model. The record is from RNAcentral.